GUGAGUCAUCGAAUCUUUGAACGCACAUUGCGCCCCUUGGUAUUCCGAGGGGCAUGCCUGUUCGAGCGUCAUUAUGACCACUCAAGCCUGGCUUGGUGUUGGGGUUCGCGGUCCUGCGGCCCUUAAAAUCAGUGGCGGUGCCAUCUGGCUCUAAGCGUAGUAAUACUCCUCGCUAUCGAGUCCUGGUGGAUGCUUGCCAGCAAACCCCUAAAAAUCUCACGGUUGACCUCGGAUCAGGUAGGGAUACCCGCUGAACUUAAGCAUAUCAAUAAGCGGAGGA
Molecule: unclassified non-coding RNA, 280 nt
Filed under: Hyaloscyphaceae sp.
Lineage: Eukaryota; Fungi; Ascomycota; Leotiomycetes; Helotiales; Hyaloscyphaceae
Description: partial contains 5.8S ribosomal RNA, internal transcribed spacer 2, and large subunit ribosomal RNA
Rfam family: 5.8S ribosomal RNA (bases 1-71)
Source: RNAcentral